GUAGACAUAGUUUAAAGAAAACAUCAGAUUGUGAUUCUGGAAACAGAGGUUAAACCCCCCUUGUCCACC
This 69-nucleotide transfer RNA is filed under the name Eviota prasina (green bubble goby). RNAcentral describes it as "tRNA-His". It matches the Rfam family "tRNA". From Rfam's summary of the family: Transfer RNA (tRNA) molecules are approximately 80 nucleotides in length. Their secondary structure includes four short double-helical elements and three loops (D, anti-codon, and T loops). Further hydrogen bonds mediate the characteristic L-shaped molecular structure. tRNAs have two regions of fundamental functional importance: the anti-codon, which is responsible for specific mRNA codon recognition, and the 3' end, to which the tRNAs corresponding amino acid is attached (by aminoacyl-tRNA synthetases). tRNAs cope with the degeneracy of the genetic code in two manners: having more than one tRNA (with a specific anti-codon) for a particular amino acid; and 'wobble' base-pairing, i.e. permitting non-standard base-pairing at the 3rd anti-codon position. Lineage: Eukaryota; Metazoa; Chordata; Actinopteri; Gobiiformes; Gobiidae. The record is from RNAcentral.